UACGGGGGGUGCAAACGUUGCUCGGAAUUAUUGGGCGUAAGGCGCACGUGGGCGGUCCCUUAAGUCGGGUGUGAAAGCCCUCGGCUUAACCGAGGAAGUGCAUUCGAAACUGGGGGACUUGAGUACUGGAGAGGAUGGCGGAAUUCCCGGUGUAGAGGUGAAAUUCGUAGAUAUCGGGAGGAACACCAGCGGCGAAGGCGGCCAUCUGGACAGAUACUGACGCUGAGGUGCGAAAGCGUGGGGAGCAAACAGG
Molecule: ribosomal RNA, 253 nt
Filed under: uncultured bacterium
Lineage: Bacteria
Description: partial 16S ribosomal RNA
Rfam family: Bacterial small subunit ribosomal RNA
Source: RNAcentral